This is a long non-coding RNA of Trichosurus vulpecula (common brushtail), 317 nucleotides long. RefSeq lists it as uncharacterized. The transcript is spliced from 2 exons. The record is from RefSeq and is a predicted model, not a curated record. NCBI's taxonomy places the organism in Eukaryota, Metazoa, Chordata, Mammalia, Diprotodontia, Phalangeridae.
CAGGCUCCUGGUGGCUGCCUUCAGUGUUCAAACAAGCUCAUCUGACAGCCCUGGGGUUCUCUGGGACCUGAUGGAGACACUCAGUAAUGUCACGGCCCGAUGAAAAUGAACAUCGCAUCCUGAACCUCCAAGACAGAUGUGAAGCAGCAUGGAAUCAAUCCAUAAUUGAAAGAGGGGCCAGCUCUGGCGUCAAGAAGAUCUGAUUCUAGCCCUGCCUCCUGGGCACCCUGUGAGUGCAUGGAAGAGCGAGCGGGCCCAGGCCAAGUUUCUACGUGUUUUGCAAUGAAUUUUAUUGUUUAUACACUGAGUUUUGACUA